CCCUUAGAUGUCCUGGGCCGCACGCGCGCUACACUGAGUGUCUGAGAUACGAGUCUGCCUGGUCCGGCAAGGUCUAGGUAAUCGCUAAAAGACACAUCAUGCUUGGGAUAGAUUAUUGCAAAUAUUAAUCUUGAACGAGGAAUUCCUAGUAAGCGCAAGUCAACAGCUUGCGUUGAUUACGUCCCUGCCCUUUGUACACACCGCCCGUCGCUACUACUGAUUGGAUGUUUAAGCGAGGUUCUCGAACUGCUAGCGACUUAGCUUCGGUUAGGUCGCAGUGUGGGAAGUGAACCUAGCUUUGGUGUCUAGAGGAAGUAAAAGUCGUAACA
Molecule: ribosomal RNA, 329 nt
Filed under: uncultured eukaryote
Lineage: Eukaryota
Description: partial 18S ribosomal RNA
Rfam family: Eukaryotic small subunit ribosomal RNA
Source: RNAcentral